GAUGAACGCUGGCGGCGUGCCUAAUACAUGCGAGUCGAGCGAACAGACGAGGAGCUUGCUCCUCUGACGUUAGCGGCGGACGGGGGAGUAACACGUGGAUAACCUACCUAUAAGACUGGGAUAACUUCGGGAAACCGGAGCUAAUACCGGAUAAUAUAUUGAACCGCAUGGUUCAAUAGUGAAAGACGGUUUUGCUGUCACUUAUAGAUGGAUCCGCGCCGCAUUAGCUAGUUGGUAAGGUAACGGCUUACCAAGGCAACGAUGCGUAGCCGACCUGAGAGGGUGAUCGGCCACACUGGAACUGAGACACGGUCCAGACUCCUACGGGAGGCAGCAGUAGGGAAUCUUCCGCAAUGGGCGAAAGCCUGACGGAGCAACGCCGCGUGAGUGAUGAAGGUCUUCGGAUCGUAAAACUCUGUUAUUAGGGAAGAACAAAUGUGUAAGUAACUAUGCACGUCUUGACGGUACCUAAUCAGAAAGCCACGGCUAACUACGUG
This 497-nucleotide ribosomal RNA is filed under the name uncultured bacterium. RNAcentral describes it as "partial 16S ribosomal RNA". It matches the Rfam family "Bacterial small subunit ribosomal RNA", at positions 28 to 507 of the family's 1533-position model. The record is from RNAcentral.